AUGUUGGCAUUAAAAUUAGAACUUCCUGCCCCCGCAGGGCCGUGUGGGAGGCCUGGCCAAGAAGCUAUCUUUAUGGGGGUUGAAGAGGGUGGACUCUCCCCUCGCUGGAAUGGGACAGGGAGGCGACAGCUUGUGAUCGGGGGACCCUCAGGAUCUCAGAGGACAAACCAGGAGCCCAGCAGGGAGCCUGGGAGGGACUCACCCACACAGCGCAGAACGACCAGGAACUCGUCCUCCGACAGCCCGAAGGCGUUCUCCGGGCUCUCCAGCACACUCAGCAGGCUGCCCCCAGAGCAGUGCUCCAUCACCAGCACCCUCUGCCGGCUGCCCCCCUGUGGGCGGUGCAGAGGUGGCUCAGCCCACCGCCACCAGCUCCCCAUCUGCACACCCCGACUUCUGGCCCGGCCUCUCCUCCCUGAUCCCACACCCUGCAAUCCAGGGCUGUCGCUUCCAGGAAGCCCUCUCCGAUUGGACACUGAUCCCACCAUUCCUUUCCUGUUCUGUCUGAUGGAGGCUCCAGGCCAAGACCCACCGUCUCCUCCACCGCGAAGAGCUUGACGAUGUUCUGGUGGUUCAACUUCCGCAGGACCUCAAACUCCCUCUCCUGCACCUCCCGGGGACGCAGGUAGCUGGCAGUGUUGAAGACCUUCACGGCCACCAGCUCCCCGGAUUUCUGUGGGGACACAGGGCGAGGCCACAGCUGCCAGCCACCUCUCCAGGGACCCAGCCCAAGCCCAGAGAGGAGAGGGCAGCCUGUGGGGUGGGGGGGGGUGGAGGCAUCCACCCUUGGCUCCUCCCCCAGCUCAUGGUGGCAUGGCGCAGUACGGGGAGGUGACAAGGGCUCGGCGCACCUGCUGUCCACCUAUUGCCAGCACAGGGGCUGCCAACACGCCCUGCUGUGAGCCCUCCAUGCCAGCACCGCCCCUGCCUCUGCGGGCCACGCCCCCCUGCCGGCAUCUUUGGAUCUUGCUCUGUGUUUUCACCUUUCUCUCUCUCUCUCUCAUUCUCUCUCUCUCUCUCUCUCUUUUUUUUUUUUUUUUGACAGGCAGAGUUAGACAGGAGAGAGAGAGACAGAGAGAAAGGUCUUCCUUUGCUGUUGGUUCACCCUCCAAUGGCCGCCGCGGCCAGCGCACCACACUGAUCCGAAGCCAGGAGCCAGGUGCUUCUCCUGGUCUCCCAUGGGGUGCAGGGCCCAAGCACUUGGGCCAUCCUCCACUGCACUCCCUGGCCACAGCAGAGAGCUGGCCUGGAAGAGGGGCAACUGGGACAGAAUUCGGCACCCCAACCAGGACUAGAACCCGGUGUGCCGGCGCCGCAAGUUGGAGGAUUAGC
RNAcentral lists this long non-coding RNA (1332 nucleotides) under Oryctolagus cuniculus (rabbit). RNAcentral describes it as "lncRNA (ENSOCUG00000034958.1)". The record is from RNAcentral. Lineage: Eukaryota; Metazoa; Chordata; Mammalia; Lagomorpha; Leporidae.